This 845-nucleotide long non-coding RNA is filed under the name Anas platyrhynchos platyrhynchos (common mallard). Its description in RNAcentral is "lncRNA (ENSAPLG00000018041.1)". The record is from RNAcentral. Lineage: Eukaryota; Metazoa; Chordata; Aves; Anseriformes; Anatidae.
UUUCCUCCUCCCCUUAUUGUACAUUACAUCAGUUAAUAGGUAUUUAUACAUGAUGCAUUUCACUUUCUGACAGAAUGCCGUGGUGUCAUGUUUGCUGAGGAGGUGAUACCCAGGUCCUUUCUGAACGGUUCCUGACUGGAGCAGCAAGAAAUGAGGCAGCUGGAUUUCACAGAGUUUUGGUAACCUUGGAGAAACAAGUUACAGCAACCAUCAGCCCAGGCGACAAAUUUGCAAGCAGGCCAGGGUGUAAGCGGGAGGAUCUGAUCUGAGGUAUUUCUACUGGAAGAAAAUUCUGAAAUUUCAAAAUGGCAGAGUCUUCCAGAAGUGGAAAUACAUUGGUUGAGAGGAAGCGUAAGAUCCCAAACUGCAGAGACAACACGUGUAUCCAAGGCCGAACAAAAAGAGCCGGAGAAUGGGGUAUAAGUGCUUGUCAAUGUCAGACCCGAUCAUUGUCAAACAGGGGCUGGAUUCUGCAGCUACGCUGCAUACAGCGCUCCUGUUUCCUUCAGUGGUGCUCCCAAGCCACAGCGAGGAAUGCCUAGAGAGAUGGAUAAAGGCAGACAGACAUAGAUACAGACUGACAGAAUCAACCCCCAGAUGGAGGUUGCUUGAAUUUACCAGAAAUUAAGAUGCUGUACUGCUUAAGAAAGAGUUCCAUGAUCUCAUUAAGUCUCUUUUGUGUCUCUCUUUUCAUUUUAUCCUCCACUUUCCUCCUAAAAAAGAAAAAAAACCCACAUACACACACAAAAAAAUCCCAACAACUUUAUGUCAUUUGCAGAUUGAAUUAGAGGAAAAUUGCCUAUGGACUAAAUAAAAUGUUUGUGUACUUUUCUACUAGCGAAGUC